This 976-nucleotide long non-coding RNA is filed under the name Coturnix japonica (Japanese quail). RNAcentral describes it as "lncRNA (ENSCJPG00005008981.1)". Lineage: Eukaryota; Metazoa; Chordata; Aves; Galliformes; Phasianidae. The record is from RNAcentral.
UUAAAUCAUCCUUCAUCCACUGGACAACAAGCUCCUAUCGCUGUGCAUCUCUGUUAAAUGGAGGGAACACCACCAGGUGAUGGACAUCAGGGCCAACCUUGGGUGAGCUGAUCCUGGAGGUGUUACCGCACUUCACACCUCCAAGCUCUCACUGUGUUAGCAGCUCACCUGUGACUUGAGGCAAAUGUCAGAGAAGCUUCUUUGCUAAUCUGACAGAUCUUUUUGAAUAAGUUCAGCUCCUGGAUUUCAUUUAUCUGCAGUGGGUAGUCAGCAUUCCCUUAAAUGUAUUGAAAAAAUCCUAAAUCCACAAAGAAAAUGUCCCUCUAAAAUGACAUUUAAGAUGGACGGGAAAAAAGAAAAAGAAAGCAGAUCAACCUUUGCUGUAAGCUCAUCAAUGCAGUUGCUCCAGAUUAGUACUGAUAUAACUGGAAUCUGCACCCCGCCCACAUAAGAAAUCUGUAAUUAGCAGGUGGGAGAUCACACACGGUUCUGUGGAAAUUUUACAUGUAUUUUAAAAAGAAAGUCUGCAAUGGAUUAGAGCUACUUGAUUCCUAUUCUGGGUUGUUCCCAACAGUGCUUUUGCGAAGUUAUGUUUUUUCUUCUCCACCCUGCAGAUUUCAGUUGUGUGAAGGAAGCAUCACAGCUUCCUCUGCAAUGCAUGGUGAAGCAGCAGUGGCUGCUGCUGGUCCUGAUCUGCAGGUCCUGCUGCUCUUGAGGAGCCAUCCCUCCGUGGGGCUUUAUGUCUGGAAGUGUGCCAUUUAUGGAGGGGCUGAUGGAACUUGGCUGGUUUGGGCAGAGCUCCCACUUUUCUCAGGAGAGGAAGACAGCUUCACAGUGCAUCGCAGAAAUUUAGCAGUCCCACACUCCCAUCGCAAAGACACAUGAAAGACAUUUGUAACAAAGACUCUUCUGUUCUUCCUCUGGAGGGGUGCUCCUCACAUUCUGGGAAACAUUGCUGCAGGGUUGAAACUGGAAG